Anas platyrhynchos (mallard) is the source of this 4530-nucleotide long non-coding RNA. RefSeq lists it as uncharacterized. The record is from RefSeq and is a predicted model, not a curated record. Lineage: Eukaryota; Metazoa; Chordata; Aves; Anseriformes; Anatidae.
GGAUUGAAAUGUAAAUGGUGAGGCCCUCUUGGGUUUGCACUGAGCGGGACCUGAGGAGAGCUGGUGCGCUGUGCCUAAAUUCCUGGCAGGUAAAGAACCCCCCCCCCCCCGCCAUCAUGGCAUGUUGCAGAGAAAUUCUUUAAUUGUUUUAGGUGAUUAUCAGGCACCCAAGCAGGACCUUGAUCAUCCUGGAUGUGGAGUGAGGCGCUGGAGGUGGAAGAAAGCCAAAUUUCUUUCUGGUUAUGACUGCAAGCUAGAAAAGGGUGAUGUCAAACACUUAUCAGCUACUCAUAACAACUUAUUUGCUUUCAGUGUAAUAACAAAGCUUGGAAAUGUCCGGAUUCAACAACACAAGGGAAUUGGCAAAACACGAUGAAGCUCCUGUCCCAUUCAGCUACCUCAGAUUUUGCUUCAGUGUCUAAUUGUGAUCAUUUUACACAUCCUGCCUCCUUUGACUGACAGUCAUCAAGAGUAAAGGGUCAAAUUGUCUUAGUCCUAUAUUUCAGAGAAACAGAGUAGGUUGCAACACAAGUAUGACAACUCAAACAAUGCAUGUAUUUCCUAUUUUUUUUCCUGAUUAUUGGAGGCAUUUUUGACCCAAGAGAAAUACAGUAAGUCUGUUUUAUUCUCACUGUCUGUGUUGGAACAAGUGAACAGGUCUUUAGGUAUAUAGUUUGUUUUGAAGGCCAUUAAAGCAGCUGCAAACUUCAAACAAGAUGUAAGACAGUUGCUCUUUGUUCAGACUAAUGACAUAAAUCCCUCAAACAAUUUGUAAAAAAAAAAAAAAUAAAAUAAAUAAAAGUGAAGUAGCACUUUCAGAAGAUGGAUGUAUUUGCAGGAGGAGAGAAUGACAGAUCACAAACCCCUUGGGAAACAGAAAUAAAUGGAACAAAGUAGCGGGAUGAGGUUUUACUGCACAUACAGAUUAAAGUCUUUACCAAGCUAUUGCCAUACUGAUAUCAUUAAACCAAAAUGGUCCUUGCAUUCACAGGCCAUCCUGUUUUCAACAUACUGCUACUAGUAUUUUGUUACCAGGAUCCUUCCAUGAAAUUAUUUGCAAUUAUGUCAUAUCUGAAAGCCAAGGCUCUGAAUCAAGACUAAAUUUAUUCAUUGCCAGGUUGUAUCCAUUUCAGUUUGGCCAGCACUGUCCUUUAACUUAAUCAGCUCUUCUUGCUGCCUAGUAUUUCAUCUGUGAGGUAUUUAUAGACAGCCCUUUUCAAUCUUCUUUAGAUAACGUAAGCCAAGAAUGUUUGGUCUCCUCUUGUUAGGGUGUCACCAGUGCUGUGGUCAUUUUAAUUCCCCCUUGCUUAUGUUCCAGUCAAAAUUUAACAUCCUUAAGCAAUGUUGACCAGAAAUAGAUAUGAUAUUCCAGAUGAGAAGGGAUAACGAUGAAGCUAUUUCACUAUUGCAUACCAUGUGUUGAUUUUUCUUCUCUCCUGAUGAUUUCCCACAGCUGAUAUUCUGCUAAUAGCAGAAAUACUUACCUGUCACCAGGUGGAUGAUCUUCCAUUUGCAGUGCUGAAUUUCAUCUAUCCACAUAGGCAACUCCAUUCCCAGUCUCCAAAUGUUUCCAGUAUGAUAUUUCAAAAAUCAUUACAGUAACAAUGUUGCUCAGCUCUACAGCCAUUAGUGAAAGUCAAUAGCACAGCAUGUGCCAGAGUAAUUAAUGAAAAUAUUAAACAAAGUCAGUCCCAGGACUAAUUUUUAAAGAACUCCACUGGCAAGCUUCUUUCAGCAUAAUGAUUCCUUUAAAUUAUCUGCAGCUUUCUCUCCUCUAAUGAGUCCCACAGCUGCCUUGUAGUUCUUGUUCUAAUUCCCAUUUUCAUUGGUUUAAUAAUAUUUCACACUGUGCAGUAUCAGAAACUUUAUUUAGAUCCAGCAAGAUUAGAUACACUAAAUUUUCUCUAGUAAUUUUAUACCAAAUUCAGAGGGGCAUGCACAAAGCCCUCUGUUCAUCAGGAAGGCCCAGGUCUGAUACAGUAAGUUAAUUUUAGUUGGGAUUCUCACACUGAAUUACUAAAUGAGUACAGAUUAAGUUUUAUAAAAUUGUACUUGCAUAGAAAUCACAAUUAGAAAAAUGUUUAUAUUUUCAUGUAUGGAUAAUACAUGAGAACUAACUUGUAAUUAGUACUUUUUUAUAACAAUUGUAAUGUUUCAAAUGUACUUGAAUAAGUACAGAAACUGACAUUGCUGAAAUCUAAUUUUUAAAUUUCUAUAGAUGAUCACUCAUAACUGUAGAAACACUACUUUGUUUUUCAGGGUGACCAAAUUGAGUUAAGAUUCUAUCUUGUUGGUAGUUACUGGUAUAAACUGACUAAUUGGAGUGUAGUUGUUCCCAGCUUCUUCCAGUGAAAAAGACAUUGGACUUGGGCUCACUGUUACACUCUUUUUCAAUUACCUCUCACUAUAUUGGAACUUUGAAAAUGUUGGAUCAGAAAAAUAAUGGUGUAUUCUGCAUUUAGCCAUGAAAAACUAGGUUAAGAAAGGUUUGCCUGUUUACAGGGUAGGAUGUUAAUAAGGAUUAAUUGAUGUCAUCCCUCCUCUCUAAUGGCUCUACCUGCCUUAUUUUUUCUCAUUAGACAGUGGAGUUAAAUAGCUGUGAUCUGACCUUGCCAUAACAGUUAGCUCUACGCGAUGUAGGUGGAAACAAAGCAGGUUUGUAAUUGCAAUGAGGUACGUUCUUUCCGUAAAUUUCAUCAGGGCUAGAACAUUACUUGUUGGGCUGGUUAUACCGUGCGUAACCACAGUCCUUUCCCACAGGAUGGACCAAGCAGUGGAGUAACAAAGGUAUUUUAUGUAAUUAUAUGUUAUUCCGUGACUCUGAAAACAUUAACUAUGUAGUGUGGUUUUCUGCUACAAUCCUUGUCUGUGUGAAGUGAUGGUACCUCCUUUGGCUGUUUCCUGGUGGAAAAAAAAGGUAAGGAAAGCUCUGCAUUGCAGGGUUUUGGAGGACAGAGCAGAUGAGACUGCCAUUUGAAUCAGUCUCUGAAGCCUUUCUGUUGCAAGGCCACCCAUGGAAAUGUUGGAUGCUUAUUGCCUUAUUGAAGCAUGUUUUAGCUUCAGGAGUAGGCAGUACUGCAAUUUCUUUUCUACCACAGUUUUUUUUUUUUUUACAUUUACUUUUUUUUGUUUGUUUGUUUUUUUAAAUCAAGAUUAAUCUAUUAAUGAUAUUUCCUGUAAUUGUACAUGACGAUUUCCUGCUUCUGUUAUUUCUGUACUGCAAACUUCCUCUACUAGCUUCACGGUCUGUUCUUGUCAGAACUCUGUUCUGCUCUUGGUAUGAACCAGAAUAUCCAGUUGCCUCAACUCUAAAUUUGCCAUUGACCAACAUGAAAGGAAAAAAAGUUAUCUGAUAUAGGAAAUCAAAUAGUUAAUAAAAUAUAGACAUAGCAAACGCUUCUAUAUCAUUUGAGGUUUAUUAAGAUAUAAGCCUUUCUAAAUUCCAUACACAUUUUGAAGCUUGUUUACAUCACAUUAUUACUUUUUUUUUUUUUCCUCAGAGAAAAUAGCAUUGUUGAUCCCUUUAUUUUUCUGAUAGCAUCUUAAGGCUGUAUUCACAAUGAGCACCACAAAUGCCAUCUACAGUUCUGAGUAGAAAUGAGAGACUUGACCUGCGUCAUAGCUCACAUUUAGAGGCUCGCUUAUCAAGUGGGAUAUGACUAUGAGACCCUGAGAUAUGAGUGAAUGUCUAAAUUUAUCACCAACAGUCCUUUUUCCACAGUCUUGACACAUGAUGUCACACUGUCGGUUACAUCUCUAAUGACUAGUGCACCCAUACAAUGAGUAUGAUUUUAACAUGACAGUAUAAUAGAAGCUAAACAACAAAUUGUGAGGCAACUCCCUAAGAUACAUCCCUUGUUUUAUGCAGCAUUUAUACUUCAAAAGUAAGUGUUGAUAUGCUUACUCUUCAUUUUAUGUUAGUGGUAUGUUAAGGGUUCAAGGAAGUAGAUACUCUACAGAAUAAAGGGUCAUCAUAAGGCCAUCACAAAGAAGAUGGCAUCAACAGAAGAAAAAAGAGACUGGGAAUGGAAAGAGCAGAAUUGGUUCUUGUGGCAGUGCUGUUAGUUCAUGAUGUCUUCACAAGUUCAUUUAACUAUACGCUGAAUAACUUACCUGUAAGCUGGUAAUUUUAUGAAAGGAAUGAUGUGAUCACCUGCAGCAACAAAAGAUAAAAUGAAUGAUUUGGGAUGUUCUUUCUAGUUCCAGCUCAUGUAUUUCUUCCCUGUCUUGGAGGAUCCUUGGUUUAUAUCCAUAGUAUGUAUAUAUUUUUCUAUUAUUUUUUAACUUUGUCCUUGACAUACUACUUUAAAUUAUUAAUAAAAAAUAAGCAUCUCAUUGUCCAAUUAUGUACAAAGAGCUAUGAAUUCAUGAAAUACUUCAGCCAGAAAUAUCUUUGGCUGAAGGACAGUUACGUUACCAAGAAGAAAAAAAAAAGGCUCUGGAAAUGCUUAUUCAAUGUCAUUCAAUACAUCAUUUAAGCUAGCUUCUCUCCCCUUCUUCACUAAUAAAUGAUCCUGCUGAUGUAAUUAA